AGUGAACGCUGGCGGUAGGCCUAACACAUGCAAGUCGAACGGCAGCACAGUAAGAGCUUGCUCUUACGGGUGGCGAGUGGCGGACGGGUGAGGAAUACAUCGGAAUCUACUUUUUCGUGGGGGAUAACGUAGGGAAACUUACGCUAAUACCGCAUACUACCUACGGGUGAAAGCAUGGGAUCUUCGGACCUUGCGCGAUUGAAUGAGCCGAUGUCGGAUUAGCUAGUUGGCGGGGUAAAGGCCCACCAAGGCGACGAUCCGUAGCUGGUCUGAGAGGAUGAUCAGCCACACUGGAACUGAGACACGGUCCAGACUCCUACGGGAGGCAGCAGUGGGGAAUAUUGGACAAUGGGCGCAAGCCUGAUCCAGCCAUACCGCGUGGGUGAAGAAGGCCUUCGGGUUGUAAAGCCCUUUUGUUGGGAAAGAAAAGCAGCAGGUUAAUACCCCGCUGUUCUGACGGUACCCAAAGAAUAAGCACCGGCUAACUUCGUG
RNAcentral lists this ribosomal RNA (492 nucleotides) under uncultured bacterium. RNAcentral's name for it is "partial 16S ribosomal RNA". It matches the Rfam family "Bacterial small subunit ribosomal RNA", at positions 29 to 507 of the family's 1533-position model. The record is from RNAcentral.